AGGGAAUAUUGGACAAUGGGUGCAAGCCUGAUCCAGCCAUGCCGCGUGCAGGAAGAAGGCUUUCUGAGUUGUAAACUGCUUUUGCCAGGGGAUAAAAUACGGAUGCGUCCGGAAUUGAAGGUACCUGGUGAAUAAGCCACGGCUAACUCUGUGCCAGCAGCCGCGGUAAUACAGAGGAGCCAAGCGUUGUCCGGAUUGACUGGGCGUAAAGCGCACGCAGGCGGACGCGCGCGUGGGGUGUGAAAUCUGGCCGCUUAACGGCCAGGCGCCAUCCCAUACGGCGCGUCUGGAGCAAUGCAGAGGUCGGUGGAAUUGCCGGUGUAGUGGUGAAAUGCGUAGAGAUCGGCAGGAACACCCAGGGGGAAACCAGCCGACUGGGCAUUCGCUGACGCUGAGGUGCGAGAGCGUGGGGAGCGAAC
This 419-nucleotide ribosomal RNA is filed under the name uncultured bacterium. RNAcentral describes it as "bacterial SSU rRNA". It matches the Rfam family "Bacterial small subunit ribosomal RNA", at positions 356 to 773 of the family's 1533-position model. The record is from RNAcentral.